Molecule: long non-coding RNA, 2097 nt
Filed under: Salvia miltiorrhiza (redroot sage)
Lineage: Eukaryota; Viridiplantae; Streptophyta; Magnoliopsida; Lamiales; Lamiaceae
Description: long non-coding RNA (SMIL_LNC000480)
Source: RNAcentral
UACUCCCUCCGUCCCAGCCAAGACGCUACAUUUGCUUUUCGGCACGGGAUUUAAGGAAUUGUAGAUUAAUAUUUAAGUGUGUAAUAAUAAAGUGAUAAAGUAAGAAAGAGAAGGUAAUCUAUAAUCUAUCUAUAAUCUAUAAUUAUAUAAAAGCAGAGGUUUGGGCUGCAUGGAUUUCCCGCCAAAGCACAUCACUGUUUUAUCCAUUGUACAAUUUUUGUUGCUGAUUGACUGUUGGGCCUUGCAGUUGAGCUGGUUUUGGCUCCAAAAAGUGCAGCCCAAAAUUCAAAUUUCAAUUUUUGGAGCCCAAAACCUGUCUUGAUAAGUGUAAAUUAUCUUCUAUAAAUAGUGCCUCAUUAACUGCUAAUCUUCACAGUCGAAUUCUCCAUUUUCGGAUUUGUGGUUGCGAAUUAUUUCAGCUGACAUUUACAGCUUGCAAUCUUUCUCUCUACUCUUGGUUUCUUUAUUGCUUCUUUAUGCUAUUUUAAUUUUACUGUUGCUAUUUUUCUUUUUAUUCUGUUUAGUUUUUUGCUGUUUAUUAGUAUUAGUUUCAAUUACAACUAAGAUACAAAUUUAUACAGUUUUUUCUACUUUCUGAAUUUUUGCAGCAGAUCAAAACCGUAGAAGAUUAAGACUGAAUCUUUCUUAAUCUUUCCGUUUCUUAAUCUUUCCGUGGAAGUAUAGACUGAAUCUUUCUUAAUCUUUCCGUGGAAGUAUUACCACUGAGAUCUUGAAGUAUUACCACUGAGAUCUGCAAAAGGCACAAGAAAGUUUACUCUGCAGGCUUAUGAAGUUGAAAAGGUUGUAUAAAUCAACAAGGAUGUAUAUCAGUAGCAAAAAUUGUCGAAAGAAUGAAUUUGUGUGGAUGUUCAUAGAUCUACAUGCGAAUGAAAAUAAAGAUGUUCAUAGAUCUACAAAAAUCAAAUGCGAAAAACAGACUGCAAACAAGAGCAAAGAUGUUCAUAGAUCUACUGAAUCAGAUGCCAAAAAAUAGUAUUGAAAUCAGAUCUGCGAAAAAUAUUUUUUUUGUUUAUAGAUUUUUCAAAAAAUUAGAUGCCCAAAACAGAUAGACAAAAAUCAGGCAACCGAAGAAAUAUUCUUUGUUGGAAAUAUAUCAAUUAAUUUCUUCAUAAGUUGAAAGACAAAAAGGAAGACAAAAUAUAGAAAAUGAAAGAUAAAGACUUUUGUAAAAUACUGACAAGACACGGGAGCUCCACAUUCUCUAACUUAAGUGCAAAAGGGGUGGGGAACAAAAUCAGGAGAUAAAGAAAAUUAUGCAUACCAGUCGUACUUCCAUAUGUUACAUGCAUACAAGCAAAACAUACAAAUUAUUGGAACGAAGGAUGCACAUAAAAUCGGUCAAAUAACCAGUUAAUUUCAACUUAACUUUACACAACAAGCUUCUUGGGAUACUUCAGAUCUGCGAAAAAUAUUUUUUUUGUUUAUAGAUUUUUCAAAAAAUCAGAUGCCCAAAACAGAUAGACAAAAAUGCAGAUGCCCAAAAUAUCUUACUGUAUUGAACAAGCUGUUGUUUCAAAAUUUGUGGCUAAAUGAAAAAAAAUAAUCAAUUCAGCAAGAAAAAAAAUACAUGGAGAUCGCAAGAAUUAAAGAUGCAGUCGAGGGAGGAGGCCGAGAUCUGGAAGCUAGGGCUGGGCGACGCCGUAGUUUGAAACUCGGACGGCGGCGGCUGGAUAAGGGCUGAGCAGAGGGAGGCAGCGGCUCAUUUAUCGUCGUCGAGGAGAGAGGCGACACCUCGUGGAGCGUCGUCUAGAUGUGAGGCCGGAGUUGGUAGUUUAGGGAUCUAAGGGUUUUCGGACCGCGGCUUUGCGGUUAAACGGUUGCAGGUUUUUCUCCGGCAGAGGGAGAAAGAAGACGAUAGAGAGAACGUUUGAGCUUCUCGCCGGCAGGUGGAAGAAAGUCGGCAGAGGGUGAGGCAGAGGGAGAGAGAAAACAAGGGAGAGCACGGAUGGGAGAAGAAAUGAGAGAGAAGAAGCGGCGCUGAACCCUAAUUUUAGAGGAGAUGAGUAUUUAGGCUGUAUUUUAGGGUUGAAAAGUGUGGAUGGGCUGUAUUUAUGUAAUUGGGCUGAAUUUAUUGUA